Papilio polytes (common Mormon) is the source of this 287-nucleotide long non-coding RNA. RefSeq lists it as uncharacterized. The transcript has 3 exons. The record is from RefSeq and is a predicted model, not a curated record. NCBI's taxonomy places the organism in Eukaryota, Metazoa, Arthropoda, Insecta, Lepidoptera, Papilionidae.
UUACGGAUUGUUGGACGCGUUUUCGGUUUUCUUUAAGUGCUUCCAGGAUGUUGUUAUUGUUUAAGUCCGGUCUCGGAGUUGGCGACUGGGUAAUCAACAAGGCACGGCGUAGCCAUUGCAAACUCUGAUAUUUCAUAAGGCGGGUUAAAUGCCGCCGGCCGGUGGAUGAAUAAAAAACAAAUGAGCCGGGAAUUUGUUGGUGCUUUCUGAAGAUGCUGAUGAUUUCAAGUGGAUAUACCCUUAAUAUAUUGCAUUUUUUUUAAUGUGAUCAAAUUUAAUUAUUUCGA